GCGGGUGUAGUUCAAUGGUAGAACGGCAGCUUCCCCCAAGCUGCAUACGAGGGUUCGAUUCCCUUCACCCGCUCCA
This 76-nucleotide transfer RNA is filed under the name Serratia marcescens. RNAcentral describes it as "tRNA-Gly". It matches the Rfam family "tRNA". Rfam says of the family: Transfer RNA (tRNA) molecules are approximately 80 nucleotides in length. Lineage: Bacteria; Pseudomonadati; Pseudomonadota; Gammaproteobacteria; Enterobacterales; Yersiniaceae. The record is from RNAcentral.